This 363-nucleotide long non-coding RNA is filed under the name Scleropages formosus (Asian bonytongue). Its description in RNAcentral is "lncRNA (ENSSFOG00015027766.1)". The record is from RNAcentral. Lineage: Eukaryota; Metazoa; Chordata; Actinopteri; Osteoglossiformes; Osteoglossidae.
GAUGAUAUACCCUGAGUUAGAGAUUUUCAGGUUAACAGUUAUUCUGUUGUUAUAAACCAGGUUCUCAGCCUGAAAUUAAUGGGAGCAAACUGGUUUCUUCUGAGCAUGAUGUCACCUCUCAGACAUCCUGGAUUAUUUUAGGUAUCAUAACUGGCACUAUUGUACUUCUCAUAGUUAUUGGGCUGGUUGUGUGGAAAAUGGGGGCCUUCACACAGUGUCGCAGGAAUCAUCAGGAAGGGCAGGAGCAAGAGGUCAAAAUAGAAAUGGACCAGGACCAGAGCCUGGACCAAGAAGAUGAGGCUGAGUCCAUGUGAGGUUUGACCCAUGUCUCCGUGUGUCUAGUUAGUCUUGCUCUACUGUGCU